Molecule: non-coding RNA, 854 nt
Filed under: Pan troglodytes (chimpanzee)
Lineage: Eukaryota; Metazoa; Chordata; Mammalia; Primates; Hominidae
Source: RNAcentral
CACACGUAGUACAUCACGCUCUGGCCCGCCAUGAAGUGCUGCUCCGCCGUCUCCAGGAAGCGCUCCAGGUACUUCUCCGGCUUGAGAGAGGCUGUGCAACUCACCCACAGCAGCCGCGAUCUGGGCCUCCUCCUAUGUGCCCCUGUUCAGACCCCUGCUCCAUGAACUGGGCAGACCCAUGUCCACUAAAGUGCUGAGGAAGUGACAGCGUGUGAUUUCUGAGGCUAGAUCAUAAAGGGCACAGCAGUUCUCACCUCACUCUUCUGCCUGGGUUACUGCAGAGUAAGCCAGCUACCAGUAAGCCACCCCAGCAACCCUUUGGAGAGGCAUGCGUGGAGAACAGCCAAGGCCCUGGUGGUCCCCGGCCUCCUUGCCGUGUGAGUGAACCGUGCUGGAAGUGGGUUUUCUGGCUCCAGACCUCAGACACUGCAGCCUGUAUGGCGUCUUCCCUGAGACCUCAUAUGACCUCAAACUCAUACACUGGGUUUGUGGAAGGGAGCAGAUAACCUCUCUGUUUCCAGUUCUUAGAGGAACUGGACACCAGGAGCCUCAUACCAGGACUGCCCAGCCGAGCCACUCGAUUCCUGACCCACAUGGCCCUUGAGAUGACAAGUGAUUGAUUGCUGCUUAAAGUCACUGAGUUCUGGAAUAAUUUACAUCAUGGCAAUAGGUAACUAAUGCAGAUUCUGGUACCUGGAAAAGGAGUGCUGACAUCAAACAGCUCUAUAGAUGUGGGCGUGGCCUCAGAACUGGCCACAGGCAGGAGCCAGAAGGACUCUGUGGAAAGCGUGAGUGUCUAAGGUGCUUUGAGAGACUGUAUAUAGAAGUCUCAUGGCCUUUAGGGAAGCUGCUGG